Molecule: ribosomal RNA, 269 nt
Filed under: uncultured bacterium
Lineage: Bacteria
Description: partial 16S ribosomal RNA
Rfam family: Bacterial small subunit ribosomal RNA
Source: RNAcentral
UACGUAGGAUCCAAGCGUUGUCCGGAUUUACUGGGUGUAAAGGGUGCGCAGGCGGCUGGUAAGUCAGGAGUGAAAUCUCGGCGCUUAACGCCGAAACUGCUUUUGAUACUGCCAGUCUUGAAUCAGCGAGAGACGUGUGGAAUCCGAGUGUAGCAGUGAAAUGUGUAGAUAUUCGGAAGAACACCAGUGGCGAAGGCAGCACGUUGGCGCUCGAUUGACGCUCAGGCACGAAAGCAUGGGGAUCAAACCAGGAGUUAGAAUACCCUGGU